AACGUAGGUGGCGAGCGUUAUCCGGAAUUACUGGGCGUAAAGCGUGUGCAGGCGGGCUAGCAAGUGGUGUCUGAAAGCUCCCGGCUCAACCGGGAAGGGUUGUGCCAGACUGCUAGUCUUGAGUGCGAGAGAGGAGCGUGGAAUUCCGGGUGUAGUGGUGAAAUGCGUAGAGAUCCGGAGGAACCCCAGAGGCGAAGGCGGCGCUCUGGCUCGCAACUGACGCUCAGACACGACAGCAUGGGGAGCGAACGGG
RNAcentral lists this ribosomal RNA (253 nucleotides) under uncultured bacterium. RNAcentral's name for it is "partial 16S ribosomal RNA". It matches the Rfam family "Bacterial small subunit ribosomal RNA", at positions 524 to 776 of the family's 1533-position model. The record is from RNAcentral.